RNAcentral lists this ribosomal RNA (469 nucleotides) under uncultured bacterium. RNAcentral describes it as "partial 16S ribosomal RNA". It matches the Rfam family "Bacterial small subunit ribosomal RNA", at positions 28 to 508 of the family's 1533-position model. The record is from RNAcentral.
GACGAACGCUGACGGCGUGCUUAACACAUGCAAGUCGAACGGAAAGGCCCUGCUUUUGUGGGGUGCUCGAGUGGCGAACGGGUGAGUAACACGUGAGUAACCUGCCCUUGACUUUGGGAUAACUUCAGGAAACUGGGGCUAAUACCGGAUAGGAGCUCCUGCUGCAUGGUGGUGGUGGGAAAGUUUCGGCGGUUGGGGAUGGACUCGCGGCUUAUCAGCUUGUUGGUGGGGUAGUGGAUUACCAAGGUUAUGACGGGUAGCCGGCGUGCGAGGGUGACCGGGAUCAUUGGGACUGAGAUCAGGCCGAGACUCCUACGGGAGGCAGCAGUGGGGAAUAUUGCACAAUGGGCGGAAGACUGAUGCAGCAACGCCGCGUGCGGGAUGACGGCCUUCGGGUUGUAAACCGCUUUCGCCUGUGACGAAGCGUGAGUGACGGUAAUGGGUAAAGAAGCACCGGCUAACUACGUGC